AUUGAACGCAGGCGGCAUGCCUUACACAUGCAAGUCGAACGGCAGCACGGGUGCUUGCACCUGGUGGCGAGUGGCGAACGGGUGAGUAAUACAUCGGAACGUACCUUAUCGUGGGGGAUAACGCAGCGAAAGCUGUGCUAAUACCGCAUACGCCCUGAGGGGGAAAGCGGGGGAUCGAAAGACCUCGCGCGAUUAGAGCGGCCGAUGCCUGAUUAGCUUGUUGGUGGGGUAAAAGCCCACCAAGGCGACGAUCAGUAGCUGGUCUGAGAGGACGAUCAGCAACACUGGGACUGAGACACGGCACAGACUCCUACGGGAGGCAGCAGUGGGGAAUUUUGGACAAUGGGGGCAACCCUGAUCCAGCAAUGCCGCGUGAGUGAAGAAGGCCUUCGGGUUGUAAAGCUCUUUUGUCAGGGAAGAAACACCGGCUCUAACACAGUCCGGGAAUGACGGUACCUGAAGAAUAAGCACCGGCUAACUACGUGCCAGCCGCCGCAGUAA
This 501-nucleotide ribosomal RNA is filed under the name uncultured bacterium. RNAcentral's name for it is "partial 16S ribosomal RNA". It matches the Rfam family "Bacterial small subunit ribosomal RNA", at positions 29 to 523 of the family's 1533-position model. The record is from RNAcentral.